This 280-nucleotide ribosomal RNA is filed under the name Escherichia coli. RNAcentral's name for it is "partial 23S ribosomal RNA". It matches the Rfam family "Bacterial large subunit ribosomal RNA", at positions 913 to 1191 of the family's 2925-position model. Lineage: Bacteria; Pseudomonadati; Pseudomonadota; Gammaproteobacteria; Enterobacterales; Enterobacteriaceae. The record is from RNAcentral.
UUUCGGCAAGGGGGUCAUCCCGACUUACCAACCCGAUGCAAACUGCGAAUACCGGAGAAUGUUAUCACGGGAGACACACGGCGGGUGCUAACGUCCGUCGUGAAGAGGGAAACAACCCAGACCGCCAGCUAAGGUCCCAAAGUCAUGGUUAAGUGGGAAACGAUGUGGGAAGGCCCAGACAGCCAGGAUGUUGGCUUAGAAGCAGCCAUCAUUUAAAGAAAGCGUAAUAGCUCACUGGUCGAGUCGGCCUGCGCGGAAGAUGUAACGGGGCUAAACCAUG